GUUUCGUCACCGGUGUGGCGCCCGGUCUUCAAAACCGGUGGUGGGCCUGAUCGUCCACGGUAGGUUCGACUCCUAUGCGUCUC
Molecule: transfer RNA, 83 nt
Filed under: uncultured Desulfovibrio sp.
Lineage: Bacteria; Pseudomonadati; Thermodesulfobacteriota; Desulfovibrionia; Desulfovibrionales; Desulfovibrionaceae
Description: Selenocysteine transfer RNA
Rfam family: Selenocysteine transfer RNA
Source: RNAcentral